RNAcentral lists this ribosomal RNA (261 nucleotides) under uncultured bacterium. RNAcentral's name for it is "partial 16S ribosomal RNA". It matches the Rfam family "Bacterial small subunit ribosomal RNA", at positions 793 to 1055 of the family's 1533-position model. The record is from RNAcentral.
GUCCACGCCGUAAACGAUGGAUACUUGGUGUUGGAGGUAUUGACCCCUUCAGUGCCGAAGCUAACGCGUUAAGUAUCCCGCCUGGGAAGUACGGUCGCAAGAUUAAAACUCAAAGAAAUUGACGGGGCCCGCACAAGCGGUGGAGCAUGUGGUUCAAUUCGAUGCAACGCGAAGAACCUUACCUGGGUUUGACAUGUACUGGAAGACUACCAGAAAUGGUGUCGCCUUCGGGCCGGUACACAGGUGCUGCAUGGCUGUCGU